ACUCAAAGGAAUUGACGGGGACCCACACAAGCAGUGGAUCAUGUGGUUUAAUUCGACAAUAAACGAGGAACCUUACCCAGGCUUGACAUGUAGAGAAGGAUUGAGAAAUCAGUUCGUGCCCGCAAGGGAACUCUAACACAGGUGCUGCAUGGUUGUCGUCAGCUCGUGCCUUGAGGUGUUCGGUUAAGUCCGUUAACGAGCGCAACCCAUAUCGUUAGUUACUAUGUCUAACGAGACUGCCCGAGUUAAUCGGGAGGAAGGUGUGGAUGACGUCAAAUCAGCAUGGCCCUUAUGCCUGGGGCCACACACAUGAUACAAUGGUCGGUACAAUGAGCAGCGAUGGAGUAAUCCGGAGCAAAUCUCAUCAAAGCCGAUCUCAGUCCAGAUUGAGGUCUGCAACUCGACCUCAUGAAGUUGGAAUUGCUAGUAAUCGUGAAUCAGCUAUGUCACGGUGAAUAUGUUCCUGGGUCUUGUACACACCGCCCGU
RNAcentral lists this ribosomal RNA (487 nucleotides) under uncultured bacterium. RNAcentral's name for it is "partial 16S ribosomal RNA". It matches the Rfam family "Bacterial small subunit ribosomal RNA", at positions 899 to 1397 of the family's 1533-position model. The record is from RNAcentral.